CCAGCCGGCCCCGCCUCGGCCCGAGUUCCUGGGUCGGACCUGCGGGGCGGUAUUCCCGCGGGGGUUCGCUGGGGCGCGAGAUCCCGCGAGAGCCGAGGCUGGGCUGGAGCAUCUUCCGAAGGCGGGCGCCGGGCGCCGCCCUGGGUCUGGCUGCCGGGCCAGGUGGCUGCAGGUGCUAUGCUCCGUGCGUUUCAAAGUGCCCUGUAGUCCGUGUCAACAUUGGCAUCGCCUUGGUUAUUGGUGGAGGAACUCCAAACACGAUGUUUGCUUCGGCACACGGCUCCGUAAACAGUGACAGGAACCAAGCAUUCGACGUGUCAGCACGCCCAGCCUCCUCAUUUUCGGGCGAGGACUCUGAUGUGUGGUCUGGACCCCAGGGCCCCUGGGACCCUAUUGACCGCAGCACCCCAUGUGGACUAGGCCUCCCGCAUGCACAAACCAAGCCCUUUUCCUGAAAUCUCAGUGGUCCGCCCAGUCCUCUUCCACAUGCUAAGAAAGCAGCUCACAGGUUGUGAGGGGAGAAGAACAAAACCGAAAAACAUACCAAGAGGAAAGAAAAAGCAACAAACAAGCCCUCGCAGAGCCCGGGUGAGGGAACCGGAGGCGGCAGAACAGCCUCAGUGGUCCCGGAGACAACGCCCGAGGGAGCCAGAGCGGUGGCUGACGCUGCUCCUACGCACAGAGCUGCUCUGCGUGCGGGACUCAGGGAGACGAGACGGUCUGUGUCUGGACUGACGGAGUGGGGUCCACAUAAGAUUUAGACUGAGUUCAUGAAAUGGGUCCACUGACAUAUGACUAUGAUGCAACGAGAAAAUGAUCACGCAGCUCAGGUCUAGUUUUAAGCUGGUUGGACAUCGUGGGACAUGGCACGAAGCUGGGGCCGUGGGCCCAUUGCGUCUCCCAGGAAACAGGAAAGGAUCAACCACAGGACCUGCUCCUGCCCGCGCCGUCGGAGAAUCGGACACCAUCUCCCAGGCUCCCUGCGCUCCCUCAGGGAAGGUGAGUGACCACGCUGUUCCCGGCCCCGCCGCCCUCAGACCUCAGGCUCCGGUCUCGGGGUCAUUCAGGGGGAAGGUCAGGCUCCCGUCCAGGAACCCGGAGCCUCCGGCAGAAACCACAUGUCUGUCGGGAAUGGCCCAGAUCAGCCCUGAAGGGACCCGGCUCUCUCUCCUCAACAUCACGCCCCUUCGCCCAGGAGCAAAGCCAGUUUCUUUAAGACAAUCAGCCUCCGGAGUCACCUGCUGGGACUUGCGGGAAGGAGAGAGUGGACAGCACCUGGCCCCUCAUUCCUCUUGCAAAUGGUUUUGAAUCAUAGGCUCUGAGAUGACUAGAGCUUUGCCUGUUCCCAGGGACCGUGAAUAAAACAUU
This is a long non-coding RNA of Myotis myotis, 1368 nucleotides long. RefSeq lists it as uncharacterized. The transcript is spliced from 5 exons. NCBI's taxonomy places the organism in Eukaryota, Metazoa, Chordata, Mammalia, Chiroptera, Vespertilionidae. The record is from RefSeq and is a predicted model, not a curated record.